UUGGCCUCGAAUCAGGUAGGGAUACCCGCUGAACUUAAGCAUAUCAAUAAGCGGAGGAAAAGAAACCAACAGGGAUUGCCUUAGUAACUGCGAGUGAAGCGGCAAGAGCUCAAAUUUGAAAUCUGGCGCCUUUGGCGUCCGAGUUGUAAUUUGGAGAGGCAUCUUCGGGUGCGGCGCCGGCCUAAGUUCCUUGGAACAGGACGUCAUAGAGGGUGAGAAUCCCGUUCUCGGCUGGCUGUCCGCGUCCAUGUGAAGUGUCUUCGACGAGUCGAGUUGUUUGGGAAUGCAGCUCAAAAUGGGUGGUAAACUCCAUCUAAAGCUAAAUACUGGCGAGAGACCGAUAGCGCACAAGUAGAGUGAUCGAAAGAUGAAAAGCACUUUGAAAAGAGAGUUAAAAAGUACGUGAAAUUGUUGAAAGGGAAGCGCUUGAGACCAGACUCGGCGGGAGGUAUUCAUCGUCCCUUCUGGGGCGUGCACUUGCCUCUCGUCGGGCCAGCAUCGGUUGCGGCGGCGGGAUAAAGACCCGGGGAACGUGGCUGCUCUCGGGCAGUGUUAUAGCCCCGGGUGUCAUGCCGCCUGCUGCGACCGAGGACCGCGCUCG
RNAcentral lists this ribosomal RNA (601 nucleotides) under Desmazierella acicola. Its description in RNAcentral is "eukaryotic LSU rRNA". It matches the Rfam family "Eukaryotic large subunit ribosomal RNA", at positions 1 to 603 of the family's 3401-position model. The record is from RNAcentral. Lineage: Eukaryota; Fungi; Ascomycota; Pezizomycetes; Pezizales; Sarcoscyphaceae.